GACGAACCGUCCAAACGUUAUUCGGAAUUACUGGGCUUAAAGGGUGCGUAGGCGGCGCGGAAAGUUGGGUGUGAAAUCCCUCGGCUUAACCGAGGAAUAGCGCCCAAAACUACCGUGCUCGAGGGAGACAGAGGUGAGCGGAACUGAUGGUGGAGCGGUGAAAUGCGUUGAUAUCAUCAGGAACACCGGUGGCGAAAGCGGCUCACUGGGUCUCUUCUGACGCUGAGGCACGAAAGCUAGGGUAGCGAACGGG
This 253-nucleotide ribosomal RNA is filed under the name uncultured bacterium. Its description in RNAcentral is "partial 16S ribosomal RNA". It matches the Rfam family "Bacterial small subunit ribosomal RNA", at positions 524 to 776 of the family's 1533-position model. The record is from RNAcentral.